Molecule: unclassified non-coding RNA, 264 nt
Filed under: Paraglomus occultum
Lineage: Eukaryota; Fungi; Glomeromycota; Glomeromycetes; Paraglomerales; Paraglomeraceae
Description: partial contains 5.8S ribosomal RNA and internal transcribed spacer 2
Rfam family: 5.8S ribosomal RNA (bases 1-65)
Source: RNAcentral
GUGAAUCAUCGAAUCUUUGAACGCAAAUUGCGCCUUUUUCGGAAGGCAUGUCGGUUUGAGGGCACCAUUUAACAAAUAAUGUGCAGCGUUGUUUGUUGUACACGUUGAUGAGAUUUCUAAGAAUUUUAAAUUUUUGGUAGCGUAUAACGAAUAGUGUGAAAGUUUUUUUUAGUUUGAGAGCAGCAAAAUUAUUGCUUGGGUUGUGAAAAAACAUAAUCGCGCAAUGGGUGUGGAAAUUUCUGUUUAUCCCUGACUCAAUGCCAC